Zootermopsis nevadensis is the source of this 809-nucleotide long non-coding RNA. RefSeq lists it as uncharacterized. The record is from RefSeq and is a predicted model, not a curated record. Lineage: Eukaryota; Metazoa; Arthropoda; Insecta; Blattodea; Termopsidae.
AAUCAAGGCUGUGGGAUUGUGCGUGACGUCAUGUUUGUUUGGGUGUGUGAGUCGUGGCCUUGGUAUAAUCUGUUGUAAGCGGCCAGCACCACAGAUACAGCUGGAGAACGGAUCACAGCACAACACUGCAGAAAACAAAUGACGAACAGCAGCCGGCGCAUGCGCACAACGAAUUAAAGGUGGGGAAGAUCCUGACUAGCUGAGUCAUUGUUUGCAGCAGCAUUUGUUAUGAUUCUUAGGAAUACUGAACAGUUGACCAUCUCCCAUCCCGUGCACGUUCAUGCCUGUUGAUGAGGGGAUGACGAACACGCAUAUUUUGUUGGUCUGCAUGGUGCUGCCAUCUAGUUUGAAACAUCUGAACUUACACGAAAAAGUUACAUCGCAUUUUUGAAAGAAAAGAACAUCCAGAGUGUUUAAAAUUUCGUCAUAAAAUUGCAAUAUUUCAAGAAAGUGGUGAGAACAUUCUGCGCAAUGAAAGGAUCAACGUAAGCAAUUCUAAGGAUUCAAGAUUACGGGGAACCAUGGAUUUGGAAGACAUAAACUUGAAACAGUCAUACACCCCGUGGAAGGCUUACCGUCAGAGCAAACUUGCAAAUCUGUUGUUCACCAAGGAACUAGCAAGAAGGCUUCAAGAAAUUGUAGUGAAAAGACAUCGUCUAGCGAAUCCCGUGACCCCGAGGUGGCCAGAAAACUUUGGGAGAUUAGCAAGAAGAUGGUGGGUCUGGAAAAUGGGAACCUCUCCACUGUGGAUGACGUAACAGCUCGUCUAGACCAAUGGUAGACAAACCUGGGGUACGCGAAGACAUCUC